AAUCAACGCUGGCGGCGUGCCUCAGACAUGCAAGUCGAACGAUUAAAGCUCUCUUCGGAGAGUGUAUAGAGUGGCGCACGGGUGAGUAACACGUAAGUAAUCUACCUUUGAGUGGGGAAUAACCCGGGGAAACCCGAGCUAAUACCGCAUAAUGCAGCGGCACCGCAAGGUGACAGUUGUUAAAGGAGCAAUCCGCUUAAAGAGGAGCUUGCGGCAGAUUAGCUAGNGGUAAGGUAAUGGCUUACCAAGGCUACGAUCUGUAUCCGGUCUAAGAGGACGGUCGGACACACUGACACUGAAUAACGGGUCAGACUCCUACGGGAGGCAGCAGUCGGGAAUUUUGGGCAAUGGGCGAAAGCCUGACCCAGCAACGCCGCGUGAAGGAUGAAGUAUUUCGGUAUGUAAACUUCGAAAGAAUAGGAAGAAUAAAUGACGGUACUAUUUAUAAGGUCC
Molecule: ribosomal RNA, 453 nt
Filed under: uncultured bacterium
Lineage: Bacteria
Description: bacterial SSU rRNA
Rfam family: Bacterial small subunit ribosomal RNA
Source: RNAcentral